AAAAGAAAAGUGGACUUCCUUGUGUAGCGGUGAAUUGCGUAGAUAUUUGGAGGAACCCCAGUGGCGAAGGCUACCUCUCUGGUCUGUUCCUGACUCUGAGGCGCGAAAGCGUGGGGAGCAAACAAGAUUAUAUCCCCUGGUAGUCCCCGCCGUAAACGAUGAGUGCUAAGUGUUAGAGGGUUUCCGCCCUUUAGUGCUGCAGCUAACGCUUUAACCACUCCGCCUGGGGAGUACGGCCGCAAGACUGAAACUCAAAGGAAUUGACGGGGGCCCGCACCAGCGGAGGAGCAUGUGGUUUAAUUCGAAGCACCGCGAAGAACCUUACCACGUCUUGACCUCUUCUGACAACCCUAAAGAUACGGCCUUCCCCUUCGGGGGACAGAGUGACAGGUGGUGCAUGGUUGUCGUCAGCUCGUGUCGUGUGAUGUUGGGUUAAGUCCCGCAACGAGCGCACCCCUUGAUCUUAGUUGCCAGCAUUCUGUCGGGCACUCUAAGAUGACUGCCGGUGACAAACCGGAGGAAGGUGGGGAUGACGUCACAUCAUCAUGCCCCUUAUGACCUGGGCUACUCACG
This 573-nucleotide ribosomal RNA is filed under the name Rossellomorea aquimaris. Its description in RNAcentral is "bacterial SSU rRNA". It matches the Rfam family "Bacterial small subunit ribosomal RNA", at positions 652 to 1222 of the family's 1533-position model. The record is from RNAcentral. Lineage: Bacteria; Bacillati; Bacillota; Bacilli; Caryophanales; Bacillaceae.